Saccostrea echinata is the source of this 619-nucleotide long non-coding RNA. RefSeq lists it as uncharacterized. NCBI's taxonomy places the organism in Eukaryota, Metazoa, Mollusca, Bivalvia, Ostreida, Ostreidae. The record is from RefSeq and is a predicted model, not a curated record. The transcript is spliced from 2 exons.
GAAAUUACAUCUAUGGCACGCCAAAUUUACAAAAAUGAGUAAAACCUAGUUUCACAAUUGAUAAACUAGGUUUAUCGACUGUAAACUAUAGUUUACAAAUCGUAAACUAUAGUUAACGAUUCGUUAAGUAUAGUUUUCAUCUGUAAAACUAUAUUAAACGGUUGUUAACUAUAGUUUACGAAUGCUAAUCUAAGUUUAUCUGUCUGUAAUAAGCGUUAACAAUAGAUUUUGUUGAUAAACAUAGAUUCACUUUAUAAUCGUAAACUAUAGUUAACGGUUGUUAAUCAUAGUUUCACAAAUCGUGAAACUAUAUUUAUCAGAUCGUUAACUAUAGUUAACGGUUUGUAAACUAUAGUUUACAAAUCGUGAAACUGUAUUUAUCAGAAAAUCUAUGUUUUGCAAUCGCAAAUGAUUGUUUUCGGUGUUAAGUAUAGUUUACGGUUGUGAAACAUAGAUUAUCGCGUUAACUAUGGUUUACAGAUGUGAAAUAUAGAUUAACGUUGUUAAUUAUAGUUUACAAUUCGUAAACUAUAGUUUACAACCGAUAAACCUAGUUUAUCGAUUGUGAAACUAUGAUUAUCUCAUUUUUGUGAAUUUGGCGUGCCAUAUACAUCUGUAA